UUUUAAUCAGUGACAGUGAUCUACUAUUAAAU
Non-coding RNA from Tinamus guttatus (white-throated tinamou), 32 nucleotides. NCBI's taxonomy places the organism in Eukaryota, Metazoa, Chordata, Aves, Tinamiformes, Tinamidae. The record is from Rfam.